UGGGGAAUAUUGGACAAUGGGCGAAAGCCUGAUCCAGCCAUGCCGCGUGUGUGAAGAAGGCCUUCGGGUUGUAAAGCACUUUAAGCGAGGAGGAAUGGCUCUGGGUUAAUACCCUUGAGCAGUGACGUUACUCGCAGAAUAAGCACCGGCUAACUCUGUGCCAGCAGCCGCGGUAAUACAGAGGGUGCAAGCGUUAAUCGGAAUUACUGGGCGUAAAGCGCGCGUAGGCGGUUACGUAAGUUGGAUGUGAAAUCCCCGGGCUCAACCUGGGAAUUGCAUUCAAAACUGCGUGGCUAGAGUGUGGGAGAGGAAGGUAGAAUUCCAGGUGUAGCGGUGAAAUGCGUAGAUAUCUGGAGGAAUACCGAUGGCGAAGGCAGCCUUCUGGCCUAACACUGACGCUGAGGUGCGAAAGCAUGGGGAGCAAACAGGAUUAGAUACCCCCGUAGUCCCUGAGCGGGCUGGCAAGGCGCAU
This 472-nucleotide ribosomal RNA is filed under the name uncultured bacterium. RNAcentral describes it as "bacterial SSU rRNA". It matches the Rfam family "Bacterial small subunit ribosomal RNA", at positions 355 to 825 of the family's 1533-position model. The record is from RNAcentral.